Long non-coding RNA from Peromyscus eremicus (cactus mouse), 724 nucleotides. RefSeq lists it as uncharacterized. The record is from RefSeq and is a predicted model, not a curated record. The transcript has 2 exons. NCBI's taxonomy places the organism in Eukaryota, Metazoa, Chordata, Mammalia, Rodentia, Cricetidae.
GUGGCGGCGCUCGGCGGGGCCCCGGUCACCCCCGGCCGCAGCGCUCGCAGAGUGCCUCUCCCGCCGGCACCUACGCCGGGCUGCAGCCGCUGCGCUCGCAUCGUCUCCAUCCCGGCCGGCGGCAGAGCUGGGCCCCGCGGCUGGCCAGCCUGGCGAGCUAACGGUCCCAGCGACCCCGGCAGCAGAGACUAAACAGAGACUUCGGAACACAUUUAUUUGACAUUUCAAGUGGUAAGAGGACUGACUUGGGCUUCCUCCCCACUUCUACCUGUAGGGGUGUUCAUAAGCUCAGACACACAGAAGAGCAACUUAGAGCCCAUGACCCACCCCCUGGGGUCAACAAGGCGGUCCCUAGUGGUGUGUGUUGGGUGGGUCGGGGGAGCAGGUGGGAAGAAAAAGCCGGAAGUUGAGGGCAUGAGAGGCAGCAACAGAACCGAGACCGGGAGCUGCUGCUGGAGCCUCAGAAAAGAGAAGAAGACAUCCUGAAAAGCGGAUGGAUGCCGGGUGUGAGCAAGGAGCCAGGCAUGGAGAAGCAAGACCUGCAGAACGGGGUGAGAUACUCGUGAAGAGAAAAUAGAGUAUGCGAGAGUAUGAUAGGCCACGUCUCCGGGCAUACAUAGAAAGCAAGGGAUUGCUUUUUCAGGAGAGCAAAGAUCCAGGAGACCAGCCUCAAGUGGGGGCUCCCUGCUGCUUCCGAAUAAAGGCCAGGGAGCCUGGGACCCUA